UGUGCGCAAGUCACUGGGAUAGACUAAACCCAGAGGCGCAGUGAAAGCGUUGGGGCUCGCAUCGACGGUAAUUUAUUGCCGCUUGCGAGCCCGCAGAAGGGAAGACGGCCUGCCGUACCCGACCGGUGCGGCRGGUCAGCACUCCCGGGGCGCCUCGGCUUCGGCCGCAGGCGCACCCUGAGCGCACACGUUGGGACCCGAAAGAUGGUGAACUAUGCCCGGCCAGGACGAAGUCAGGGGAAACCCUGAUGGAGGUCCGCAGCGAUUCUGACGUGCAAAUCGAUCGUCAGAGCUAGGUAUAGGGGCGAAAGACUAAUCGAACCAUCUAGUAGCU
This 334-nucleotide ribosomal RNA is filed under the name Ruptitermes arboreus. RNAcentral describes it as "eukaryotic LSU rRNA". It matches the Rfam family "Eukaryotic large subunit ribosomal RNA", at positions 681 to 952 of the family's 3401-position model. Lineage: Eukaryota; Metazoa; Arthropoda; Insecta; Blattodea; Termitidae. The record is from RNAcentral.